AGGACGAACGCUGGCGGCAGGCUUAACACAUGCAAGUCGAACGCUCGUAGCAAUACGGGAGUGGCAGACGGGUGAGUAACGCGUGGGAACAUACCCUCCGGUUCGGAAUAGCUCAGGGAAACUUGGAUUAAUACCGGAUACGGCCGAGAGGCGAAAGAUUUAUCGCCGGAGGAUUGGCCCGCGUUCGAUUAGCUAGUUGGUGAGGUAACGGCUCACCAAGGCGAUGAUCGAUAGCUGGUCUGAGAGGAUGAUCAGCCACAUUGGGACUGAGACACGGCCCAAACUCCUACGGGAGGCAGCAGUGGGGAAUAUUGGACAAUGGGCGCAAGCCUGAUCCAGCCAUGCCGCGUGAGUGAUGACGGCCUUAGGGUUGUAAAGCUCUUUCGCUCGGGACGAUAAUGACGGUACCGAGAUAAGAGCCCGGCUAACUUCGCGCCAGCAGCCGC
RNAcentral lists this ribosomal RNA (446 nucleotides) under uncultured bacterium. RNAcentral's name for it is "SSU rRNA". It matches the Rfam family "Bacterial small subunit ribosomal RNA", at positions 26 to 518 of the family's 1533-position model. The record is from RNAcentral.